RNAcentral lists this ribosomal RNA (468 nucleotides) under uncultured bacterium. RNAcentral's name for it is "partial 16S ribosomal RNA". It matches the Rfam family "Bacterial small subunit ribosomal RNA", at positions 28 to 507 of the family's 1533-position model. The record is from RNAcentral.
GACGAACGCUGGCGGCGUGCUUAACACAUGCAAGUCGAACGGAAAGGCCCUGCUUUUGUGGGUUGCUCGAGUGGCGAACGGGUGAGUAACACGUGAGUAACCUGCCCUCGACUUUGGGAUAACUUCAGGAAACUGGGGCUAAUACCGCAUAUGAGCUCCUGCUGCAUGUUGGGGGUGGGAAAGUUUCGGCGGUUGGGGAUGGACUCGCGGCUUAUCAGCUCGUUGGUGGGGUAGUGGCUUACCAAGGCUUUGCCGGGUAGCCGGCCUGAGAGGGUGACCGGCCACAGUGGGACUGAGAUACGGCCCAGACGCCUACGGGAGGAAGCAGUGGGGGAUAUUGCACAAUGGGCGGAAGCCUGAUGCAGCAACGCCGCGUGCGGGAUGACGGCCUUCGGGUUGUAAACCGCUUUCGCCUGUGACGAAGCGUGAGUGACGGUAAUGGGUGAAGAAGCACCGGCUAACUACGUG